Molecule: long non-coding RNA, 315 nt
Organism: Pipistrellus kuhlii (Kuhl's pipistrelle)
Lineage: Eukaryota; Metazoa; Chordata; Mammalia; Chiroptera; Vespertilionidae
Exons: 3
Source: RefSeq, a predicted model, not a curated record
GAGAGUGUGAAGCCACAGAGCCGUCAGGGAAUGGGGCUGCAGGUGCGCAGGCAAUUCAGACCAGGCAGUGCUUCCUCCUAGGCUUUGUAUUAAACACUGACGUGGGUAUUCCAAGAGAUCUGUGAGGUGCGCAGUGUUACCUUUCCCACGUCAUAGGUGAGAUGACCUGACCCGCCCAAAGUUGUCCAGCUUAUCAGUGGCCUUGACUCCAGAGCCAGCAACUCAGACUGAACAGCCAUUUUCUCUACCUCUCACAGCAAAAGUUACUGCCCCCAACGUGAACUACCAGGGAGCCUGAUGUAGGCCCAGUGCAUG